RNAcentral lists this ribosomal RNA (292 nucleotides) under uncultured bacterium. Its description in RNAcentral is "partial 16S ribosomal RNA". It matches the Rfam family "Bacterial small subunit ribosomal RNA", at positions 505 to 796 of the family's 1533-position model. The record is from RNAcentral.
GUGCCAGCCGCCGCGGUAAUACGAAGGGGGCUAGCGUUGUUCGGAAUUACUGGGCGUAAAGCGUGCGCAGGCGGUCUCUCAAGUCAGGGGUGAAAGCCCAGAGCUCAACUCUGGAACUGCCCUUGAAACUGUGAGGCUCGAGUGCGGGAGAGGUGAGUGGAAUUCCCAGUGUAGAGGUGAAAUUCGUAGAUAUUGGGAAGAACACCGGUGGCGAAGGCGGCUCACUGGCCCGUUUCUGACGCUCAUGCACGAUAGCGUGGGGAUCAAACAGGAUUAGAAACCCCCGUAGUCC